Molecule: long non-coding RNA, 501 nt
Organism: Panicum virgatum (switchgrass)
Lineage: Eukaryota; Viridiplantae; Streptophyta; Magnoliopsida; Poales; Poaceae
Exons: 2
Source: RefSeq, a predicted model, not a curated record
GACGCCGAGGACUAACGACGGAGGAAUCGCCGCCGUCGCCACCAUCAACCUGCCGCCGAUUGAUGGAACCACCCCCGCCGCCAACAUCCGUGGCUCCAACAACCCGGCGGACAGCCGAAUCUCCAGCAGCACCGUUCAGUGCGAGUGGAGGAGGUCAUGGAAAUGGAGAUGGAGGUGGCUGCUGAUGAUAAUGACAUGCCUGAUGUUCAUCUGUAGCAAGCUAGAUGUCUAAAGCUUCAGAUGGCCAAAUUUGCACUAUUUUGUUUCUUUGUCAAAUGCGUCAAACUUUGAUAUGUCAUAUGUGCAUGUGUGUGUAGCAGCAGCAGCAGCACUGCACUAGCACUACUAUGUCACUUUUGAACCCUGUCGUGUGUUUUGUUUAAUGGCUAAGGUUGAACUUGACCUGCUGUAGUGCUAUAAUAUUCUAUUACUUAUGUUGAUGUGUCACCAUGUUGAGGUGAUAAACUGAUAAUAUUUUCCGUAUGAUCUUGCCUUAUUGAA